RNAcentral lists this small RNA (4474 nucleotides) under Pan troglodytes (chimpanzee). RNAcentral's name for it is "retained intron". Lineage: Eukaryota; Metazoa; Chordata; Mammalia; Primates; Hominidae. The record is from RNAcentral.
CUCCUGGGGGGUGAGGAGCGGGAGCGGCUCUGGGCCGAGCUACUGCGCACGGUGAGCCCGGAGCUGAUCCUGGAUCACGAGGUGCCUUCACUGCCCGCCUUCCCAGGACAGGAGCCCAGGUGCGGCCCGGAGCCCACUGAAGUCUUCACUGUCGGAACCAAGACCUUUUCCUGGACACCCUUUCCGCCGGACCUGUGGGGCCCGGGCCGUUCCUACCGGCUGCUUCACGGGGCAGGAGGGCACCUGGAAUCCCCCGCCAGGUCCCUGCCCCAGCGCCCGGCACCUGAUCCCUGCAGGGCCCCCAGGGUGGAGCAGCAGCCGUCUGUGGAGGGUGCCGCGGCCCUGCGCAGCUGCCCCAUGUGCCAGAAGGAGUUCGCCCCCAGGUGAGUAGGCCACCCCUGCGCCCGGCCCGGUUGUCCAUCUGUGUUUGGAAACCACAGCCGUUCAGAAGGUCAAGAGGUGGCCGAGCUCAGCGCUGGCUUUUAAAGCCCUGUUUCACACUGGAAAGGUGGCCCAGUGCUGUGGCCUGGCAUGUCCAGGUGGCUCUCUGUCACGGGUCUGGGGUCCACCUGCUUGCCGUGCUCUGUGGGCAGGGCAGGCUGGGGGCCCACAGAACAGCACAGAAGGAAGGCUGGGCGCACUGGCCCCGGGUCCACCUGGCCAUCCUGGAAUCUGGUGGCACCAGCGUCCCCAGGCCCAGAGCACAGGAACACCUUCCCGAGAGUGGGUCAUGGGUUUUAAAAAUGAAGAUCAUCUUUUUUGUCUGGAGAUGCUUUUUCUUAUUUUUGAAACCCAAUGUAUAUUUUUAUGUAUUUUUUAAGUAAAGGGGAAUGGAACCCAGUUUUGCUAACAAGAUAACCCAAACUGCCCAGUGCCUGGCCUUGUGUCUGGCGACCUCUGGGCCCUUGGCCUCCGGAGCAGGUACUGGGGCUGGGGUGGUGUGAAUGAUGCUGGUUUGUAACUUUUGGUUGAGUUAAUGGGCGGCAGGUUUCAGAGCUUAUGGAGACCAGGUCCUUCAGUCAUGCCUGAUGCCCCUGGUCUUCCAGAAGCAAAAACAGCUCGGGAAUGCGAAGGGACCGGAGUCCAAAGUUGGCAGCCAACAACAACAACAACAAAAGAAAAGGCCGGGCACGGUGGCUCACGCCUGUAAUCCCAGCCCUUUGGGAGGCUGAGGCAGGUGGGUUGCUGGAGCCCAGGAGUUUGAGACCAGCCUGGGCAACAUGGCAAGAUCCCAUCUUUACACGCCUGGGCGUGGUGGCGCGUGCCUGUGGUCCUAGCUACUCUGGAGGCUGAAGUGGGAGGAUUCCCUUGAGCCAGGAAUUGGAGGCUGUAGUGAUGUAUGAUUGCACCACUGCACUCCAGCCUGGGUGACAGAGUAAGACCCUGAAUCACGAACAGAGGGUACUGUUGGGAGCCCUGGGGAGAAAUCCAUGCUCUUGGCUGAAGCUCUGAGAUCCUUGUUGCUGUCAGGGUGCUGCCCCCCGCCCCCCGGGGAGGGGCUUUUGUCUUUGCAUCGCCUGCUUUUCCAGAUAGUCUAAAAAAAGACUUCUGAAGACAAGGACGUUCACGAGGAAAAACUUGCCAUUUUGAGCUUUUUAAGCAGUUGCUGAAAGCUUGGCAGACUGCCUCGAUUUUUCCUAAGUAGGCGUCAAUGAAGUCAGGUCCAGGCCUUGGUGUGUCUGGAAUGCUUCAAGCACAUUCGAACACUUGAUCGUAAGGGAGAGCCGGUACUUUGGAACCGGAACUCACCCGAGGCUGUGGCCACCGCAUGGGCAGGCUAGCUGGGGGACAAGCCCCAUAUCUUUGGGAACAAGGGUUUGCACAGCCACCCUGGGAUGCCCUGGGACUCCUGACCGCACAGGACCCCAGCAGGGAGGCCGCCUGGAUUGGAGGGUCUGGUCUAACAGCCGGACUUGGUCUUGAACCGUCGCCCUGUCCCGCACAGGCGCCUGCUGAGCCUGGAGCCCUGGCAGAGGCGGGUCUGGGGAGUGGAGCUGCCGGGAGACCUCCCAUUUCUCACAGCCUUGGUGUUCUCCGGGUCACCCAGAGGACCGUCAAAUGCUGGAUUUGACAAACUAUGUAGAAUGUUCUUUGUGUCUUUAAGAUCUUCUUGUGGUCCUAUUUGGACAUUUUGUGCAUUUUCAGACACCUGCAGGUCACGUGGGUGGAUGGGAAGCUGGGCACCUGGUGAGGGGUGAGGAUGUUGAGGGCCGGAGCUGCGUUUUGUCUCUGUUGAUGUGGCGAGGCCCUGGGUUGGUCACUGGGAUUUUUUUUUUUUUUUUUUUCGAGACGGUGUCUCGCUCUGUCGCCCAGGCUGGAGUGCAGUGGCAUGAUCUCGGCUCACUGCAACAUCUGCCUCCCGGGUUCAAGCGAUUCUCCUGCCUCAGUCUCCCGAGUAGCUGGGAUUACAGGCGCCACCACACCCGGCUAAUUUUUGUAUUUUUAGUAGAGACAGGGUUUCACCAUGUUGGUCAGGCUGGUCUUGAACUGAUCUCAGGUGAUCCGCCCGUCUUGGCCUCCCAAAGUGCUGGGAUUACAGGUGUGAGCCACCGCGCCCGGCUGGUCAUUGGGAUUUUAACAGCCCUGAGGCCCCUCACGCUGCCAGGUGCCAGCCCACCCUGCAGCCCUGCUCCCCUGCCCACACGCAGAAGCCACCAGAGGCUUCUGGACUGAGCCCCCACUGUCCUGCAGCCGGGCUGGCCUGUCCACACCACAGGGCCUGCUCAGCUACUGAGCAGAAGUGUCACGGACAGGGCAGAUCAGGCCGGGACAAAGCUCUUCCGCCACAGGCGGGGGUCUGAAGCCAUCUCAGAGGGCCCCCAAACAAGGGACACUGCCUGGAAACCCCGGGACAAGAUGACCUCGGUUCAGAUCUUAGCACCUUCUGGCAACCUUAGAGAAAGCUUGUGGAGGGAGGGGCUGGUUCCCAGGAUGGGCAGAAGCCGGAAAGUCUCAGACUGAGUGACCCUCGGGGGCUUCAGAAGGCACUGGGUGGGCUCUGCCAGAGUGAGAAGGCAGCUGAUGGCUGCUGGAGCCAGCCCCGGGAGUGGGGGUCCAGCUAUGGUCUGGAGAGGGGGACUUGAGGGUUGCAGUGGCCACACAGACGGGGCACAGGAGCCAAAGGAAGGGACACAGCAAAGCCCAAGGGUAAAACAGCGUGCCGUGGACUGGUCUGAGGGCAGAGGCUGUAGGGGAGCGAGGGGCGGUGUGGCUGACAGGUGGACACAGGGACACGUGUCCUGUGGACUUGGCCGCUCAGUGGGGGUGUGUCCCCCAGCAGUGGCGUGUGAGGGAUGGUCACUCUGAUGGGACACUGACCACUUGGCCUCCAGCAAGAUCUAGGCCCAAGUCUAGGCUGAAGCCGCCCACUCAGCCCCGGGACAUCGUCCCCGGCAGCUCUGCUGAGCAUGCCAGCUACGGCACUCUCCGGGAGUCAUGGCCGGAAGUCAACUGUUCUGGCUUCCAGGGCCACACCUUGGCCAAGGCUGGUGAUGGUCAUUUCCAGCCGCUCCAGUUGGGCUGAUGGGGCCACAUGAGGCCGGGGAUAGAAGGUGGCUGCGCUCAGACACCCCUCCCGGCCCCACUGGAUGCCCAGGGCGCUGACCUGCAGGACUCGGAUGGGUUUUCUCCUGCCACCCCUGCCUGGCCAGCCACCAUCCCAGCGCCAGCGCCCUCCUGAGAGGUGCAGGGGCCGCGUGGGGCCUCCCAGAGUGGCAGGUUGGCAGCCUGCACGCCGGUGACGGUGUCCUUCUCCGUGGUGAGGCUUGGUCCCUCCUCGCCAAAAACACCAAUUCUCUGACGUGAGCUGCACAGCCACCGCCCAGCCAUGUCUACUCUUCCGCCUCCUGUAGACGCAGCGGCGGCGGCUCUCCCUGGCAGGCCACCCGCCGUCCUGCCUUUUCUCCGGGUCAGGCCGCCUGUCUGCCGGGCUCCACGAUGAGCGCGCUGUCGAGCUGAGCAGGCGCCAGAAUCCCAUAGAGGGGCUUGUUCAGACACAGCUUCCCCACCCCCAGCUCGGACGCAGGGGCCUGGCUGAGAACCUCCGGCCUGGCGUGGCCUCCUCACGGGCACAGUGUGGAAACACCACCGGCGGUUACCGUGGUCUGCCGGGUGCAUGAGCCCCUGGGGUGGCCCCGUCCCUUGUUUCUGACCAGCCGGAUCCUCUCCAGCGGCAGGAGCAGAGAGGGCCCGGAGGGCCAGACGGUGCUCUCUGCGGCCAGCAUGCCGCGGAGGUGGCCGAGUGAGUGUGGCCCCUCCCUUGCAGGCUGACCCAGCUGGAUGUUGACAGCCACCUGGCCCAGUGCUUGGCCGAAAGCACAGAAGACGUGAUGUGGUGAGCGCCAUCCAAGAGCCCUGCGCAGAGUGCGGCGCCCGGACACGCUCUCCCCCGCCAGAAGCCCCGCCUCUCGGCUCCCCCGCAUGCGCAUUAAAGCAGGGCGGGCUCCUGUCUGUCUCUGUGUUGUGAUGAAACGUC